RNA transcript from Malania oleifera, 1386 nucleotides. It is a transcript of the gene named anthranilate synthase beta subunit 2, chloroplastic-like, with no coding region annotated. The record is from RefSeq and is a predicted model, not a curated record. The transcript has 9 exons. NCBI's taxonomy places the organism in Eukaryota, Viridiplantae, Streptophyta, Magnoliopsida, Santalales, Ximeniaceae.
GUUUUGAGCAUCUCUAAGAGUCAAAAGUCCCCCCUUUGCACUGUCGUUUUAGAGCUAUACUUAAGCCGGCUGGACGGAACGCUCUCCGGUGUCCGCUGAUCCGCCUGAAUCAGAAACUCCCUUCUCCAAAAAAGAGUCUGCUGUGUAACAAUGGCAGCUGUGCUUUCUCCUCAAUUUCCCUCUACUCAACCCAAACGCUUUUUGCCCUUCAGAACCCUACAGGCAGCCUCUCCCGCCCUCUCCGAGCUCUCUCUUCCACCUCAACGUCCCAAUGGGUCAGUGAUUGCCAAAGAGAGAAAGGCAUUCGUACCCAGAGCAUCUGUGGCAAUCACGGAGCAGAAUUCGAAGUCUCCUGUUUCUGGCAAGAAGAUGAGCAAUCCAAUUAUCGUUAUAGAUAACUACGACAGUUUUACUUACAAUCUUUGCCAGUAUGUGGGAGAGCUAGGGUGCGAUUUUGAAGUUUACCGAAAUGAUGAGCUUACAGUAGAGGAACUGAAAGGGAAAAAUCCAAGAGGAGUGCUUAUAUCCCCUGGGCCAGGUACACCUCAAGAUUCUGGGAUAUCACUGCAAACUGUUUUGGAACUUGGACCUACUGUGCCUUUAUUUGGUGUGUGUAUGGGUUUGCAGUGCAUUGGUGAGGCAUUUGGAGGGAAGGUUGUGCGUUCUCCUUUUGGUGUUAUGCAUGGGAAAAGUUCCCCUGUAUAUUAUGAUGAAAAGGGGGAAGAUGGUUUGCUUUUUGGUUUAUCGAAUCCGUUCACUGUUGGUAGAUAUCACAGCCUUGUGAUUGACAAAGAUAGUUUUCCUAGUGAAGUACUUGAGGUUACAGCAUGGACGGAAGAUGGAUUAAUAAUGGCUGCUCGUCACAAAAAAUAUAAGCAUCUGCAGGGUGUUCAGUUUCAUCCUGAAAGCAUUAUCACCAGUGAAGGCAAGACAAUCGUCCGCAAUUUUGUGAAAUUGAUAGAGAACAGGGAGAUUGGCUCCCAGAGUUAGAAGUACUGUUGUACAGAUGAAAAAAAAAACAGAAGAUGAAUGUAGCAUAUAAAGAUUUGCAGAUUUGUCGGAUUGCAGAGGGAGGGUAACAGAUCAACCCAACCAAAUCAGUCCUCAACUUUCCAGCUCAAUUUCUGUAUUGGCAGGGUACAACUUUUUGCUGAUCAUGCACAAUGAUCAUCUUGGAUUAGGGAACUGUCAGAAAAUGCACCUUUAAAGGUGAGUGAGGUUGGGUGUCUAAUCCCCUAACACUUGCACACUCUUCUUUACAUGCAAGUGUUGUGUUAAUUACAGAUUUGUUAUUGAACUUAUAAUUUAGAUUCAAUUUGGUCAGUACAUUUUAAUUCGAUGCAGUUCAUGUAUUAAGGUUUAAUUAUUGAUCCAAUUUCGGUCAAA